GUCUUUUUAGUAUAAUAGUACGAAUGACUUCCAAUCAUUAAAUCUUAGUCAUAAUCUAAGAAAAGACA
RNAcentral lists this transfer RNA (68 nucleotides) under Lyciasalamandra atifi. RNAcentral describes it as "tRNA-Gly". It matches the Rfam family "tRNA". From Rfam's summary of the family: Transfer RNA (tRNA) molecules are approximately 80 nucleotides in length. Their secondary structure includes four short double-helical elements and three loops (D, anti-codon, and T loops). Lineage: Eukaryota; Metazoa; Chordata; Amphibia; Caudata; Salamandridae. The record is from RNAcentral.